AUGAAGGGAGAUGGUUCGUAUUGU
RNAcentral lists this non-coding RNA (24 nucleotides) under Arabidopsis thaliana (thale cress). Lineage: Eukaryota; Viridiplantae; Streptophyta; Magnoliopsida; Brassicales; Brassicaceae. The record is from RNAcentral.